CGCGUAGGCGGUCUUUUAAGUCAGGUGUGAAAGCCCGGGGCUCAACCCCGGAAGUGCACUUGAAACUAAGAGACUUGAGUAUGGGAGAGGGAAGUGGAAUUCCUGGUGUAGCGGUGAAAUGCGUAGAUAUCAGGAGGAACAUCGGUGGCGAAGGCGACUUCCUGGACCAAUACUGACGCUGAGGCGCGAAGGCGUGGGGAGCAAACAGGAUUAGAUACCCUGGUAGUCC
RNAcentral lists this ribosomal RNA (229 nucleotides) under uncultured bacterium. RNAcentral's name for it is "partial 16S ribosomal RNA". It matches the Rfam family "Bacterial small subunit ribosomal RNA", at positions 568 to 796 of the family's 1533-position model. The record is from RNAcentral.